This 497-nucleotide ribosomal RNA is filed under the name uncultured bacterium. RNAcentral's name for it is "partial 16S ribosomal RNA". It matches the Rfam family "Bacterial small subunit ribosomal RNA", at positions 28 to 507 of the family's 1533-position model. The record is from RNAcentral.
GAUGAACGCUGGCGGCGUGCCUAAUACAUGCAAGUCGAGCGAACAGACGAGGAGCUUGCUCCUCUGACGUUAGCGGCGGACGGGUGAGUAACACGUGGAUAACCUACCUAUAAGACUGGGAUAACUUCGGGAAACCGGAGCUAAUACCGGAUAAUAUCUUGAACCGCAUGGUUCAAUAGUGAAAGACGGUUUUGCUGUCACUUAUAGAUGGAUCCGCGCCGCAUUAGCUAGUUGGUAAGGUAACGGCUUACCAAGGCAACGAUGCGUAGCCGACCUGAGAGGGUGAUCGGCCACACUGGAACUGAGACACGGUCCAGACUCCUACGGGAGGCAGCAGUAGGGAAUCUUCCGCAAUGGGCGAAAGCCUGACGGAGCAACGCCGAGUGAGUGAUGAAGGUCUUCGGAUCGUAAAACUCUGUUAUUAGGGAAGAACAAAUGUGUAAGUAACUAUGCACGUCUUGACGGUACCUAAUCAGAAAGCCACGGCUAACUACGUG